This is a long non-coding RNA of Felis catus (domestic cat), 2263 nucleotides long. RefSeq lists it as uncharacterized. The transcript is spliced from 2 exons. The record is from RefSeq and is a predicted model, not a curated record. NCBI's taxonomy places the organism in Eukaryota, Metazoa, Chordata, Mammalia, Carnivora, Felidae.
UGUAAAUUACACUUCACCAAUUAAGGGAACAAAAGUUCAAAGAAAAAUGGCAUCAGAGGCAGGGUCAAGGAGAUGAACUGGUUGUGACUUAAGGGCAGAAAGUCUAGAAUACUCACCGCAUCCGGGAACUGUUUCCACCUCAUCUGGGAGCUAUUUCUUUGUUCUGUUCCCAGGUGAUGAUAAGAUGAUGUGGUCAGCUAUAAAAACUCCGUACCCGGCUGUUCGCUGUUCGAGGCCUCACUCUGAGCCAAAGUGGUGGUCCCCUCUGUUGGCCUUGCCUCUCAUUGCAAUAAACUUUGCUGUGAUUGUCACUGGUGCCAUAGCAUUCUGUUUCAGGAGUCAUGUGGAUGCAACAAGUCAGUCUCCUGCUUUGCAAUUCUCCCCUCACUGCACCUUCAGAUCCUGUCUCUCUACAGCUGGCGCCAGAACAGGGACCUGAAGGUGGACGUUUGCCACAGGGCUGAAGAACUGCCACGGGAACCGAAGGGGACUUUGGAGCCAGGAAGCUCAGCCUUCGGGAUUUCUGCAGGUCUGGUGCCAGAGACGAUGAGCCUGUCAACAUAUCGACCGACAGUUCGGGUCAUGCAAUGUCCUCCUACAGUCCAUCAAAUACAAACAGAAAGGGGGAGAUGCUGGAGAACAACAGGCCGGAGGCACCUUAAGAAUGUCCUGAAGGAAAGGGACAGAGCAGCAAGAAACUGAAAGCAGUUUCAUUCCCAGGACAGAAAGCCGCUGGGACUUCUCCUCUCCAGAAGGACAUCAUCCGGAAGCCACCCUGGGGAUAAGAAUAUUUUGUCUGGUGCCAGAUGAACUCAUGACCCAGUAUGGAAUACGCUGCAGGUGCACAGCCUGUCAAGAGGCCAAAUACUGUGUUGUAUUUACUUGCUGUUGUCAACAAGUCGCAAAAAUCAAAGAGGCCUGAGCCAGGGGACCGAGGCUUUGGCUCCUGGAGAGUCUUAGCCCCCUGCUUUGCAAUCCUCUCAUCACCACACCUCUAGGACCUGUCUCUCUACAUAUUCCACACUCUCAUUUUCUUUGUGUUUAUUUAUUACCAAUAUAUGUGUGUGACAUUUCGUGUCUUCUUUUCCAAAGUGUUCUCUAAUAUUUCUGAUUAUCUUUUUUUUCUUAGUAUUUGAGUGCAGCUUACACACACUGUUCCAUUCCUGUCAGGUUUACAACAUAGUGACUCGUCAUAUAAUCCAAUAAUUGCACUCUUGGGUAUUUACCCCCCUAAAAGUGAAAACACCAAUUCCUUUAUUUUUUAAGGUUUAUUUAUUUUUAUUGAGAGAUGGAGAGAGAGUACACAAGCAGGGGAAGGGCAGAGAGAGAGGGAAAGGGAGGGAGAGAGAGAGAAUCUCUAGCGGACUCAGUGCUGUCAGCCCAACACCUGAUGUGGGGUCAACUCACAAACUGUGAGUGUACAUGUCCACACUAUGGAGCAUUGUAUAGACAUUGAGUUGCUAUUUCCACAUCAGAAAUGAUUUUCGUUUCACUGAGUUUUGAAACGUUUAGAAAUAGAAGUCCCAGGAAGUGUUUCUACUUUUCGGUUUUCCCUGUAUCACCAUCACGGGACUGGAGGACAAGGUGCAUAGGGACGCACACACCUCAGCAAUGGCACGGGUUCCUGAGCUCUCCUCUCCUGCAAUCCCGCCUCACCCCCGAGCCUGACCCCUGUGGAGUCCAGAGAUGCUCAGAUACUUUUUCCUCUCACCACUGACACCCAGGCUUCUGCUCAGACAUAUCUACCUGACUUACAGUCCAGACCCCACUCAGGCUUCUCAGUGAGAAUCCACCCAAGAGCAGAGCAGUGGGGGAUGUCCCCUUACCUUCCACCCCACGGGCGCCACAGGACUAAGGAGCGAAGACCCAGCUGCCUUUCUCCUCCUCAGCCAGGCCCUCCUUAGGGUCUCCUUCAGGUCCAGCAUCUGGACAGGGGCCCAGACACCAGGGGGCGCCCUCAUCCCAGAUGAUGUUCAGUGAGUUAGGUUGUUUCAAAAGCCACAGGGACACAACCUGUGUCCCUGCCAAUCCCCCCACCCCCCAGACAAAUGGGUAAGAAAGAUGUGUGGCAAAUACACACACACUAGAAUAUUAUGCAGCCACAAAAAGGAUGAGAUCUUGCCACUUGUGACAACAUGGAUGGACAAACAGGGCAGUGUGUCUGCUAAGUGAAUGAAAUCAGACUGACAAAGACAAGUACCACGUGAUCUCACUCAUAUAUGGAACUUACAAAACAAAGCAAAUGAAUAAAUAAACAAGCAAA